This 450-nucleotide ribosomal RNA is filed under the name uncultured Glomeromycotina. Its description in RNAcentral is "SSU rRNA". It matches the Rfam family "Eukaryotic small subunit ribosomal RNA", at positions 569 to 1023 of the family's 1831-position model. Lineage: Eukaryota; Fungi; Glomeromycota. The record is from RNAcentral.
AGCAGCCGCGGUAAUUCCAGCUCCAAUAGCGUAUAUUAAAGUUGUUGCAGUUAAAAAGCUCGUAGUUGAAUUUCGGGGUUAGUAGGUUGGUCAUGCCACUGGUAUGUACUGGUCUCACUGAUUCCUCCUUCCUGAUGAGCCGUAAUGCCAUUAAUUUGGUGUUGCGAGGAAUCUGGACUGUUACUUUGAAAAAAUUAGAGUGUUUAAAGCAAGCUAACGCUUGAAUACAUUAGCAUGGAAUAAUGAAAUAGGACGUUCGAUCCUAUUUUGUUGGUUUCUAGGAUUGACGUAAUGAUUAAUAGGGAUAGUUGGGGGCAUUAGUAUUCAAUUGUCAGAGGUGAAAUUCUUGGAUUUAUUGAAGACUAACUACUGCGAAAGCAUUUGCCAAGGAUGUUUUCAUUAAUCAAGAACGAAAGUUAGGGGAUCGAAGACGAUCAGAUACCGUCGUAG